Molecule: small RNA, 83 nt
Filed under: Marmota monax (woodchuck)
Lineage: Eukaryota; Metazoa; Chordata; Mammalia; Rodentia; Sciuridae
Source: RNAcentral
GCUGGGCAUGGUGGCACAUGCCUGUAAUCCUAGUGGCAUGGGAGGCUGAGGUAGGAGGAUGGAGAGUUCAAAGCCAGCCUCAG